Molecule: ribosomal RNA, 614 nt
Filed under: uncultured bacterium
Lineage: Bacteria
Description: bacterial SSU rRNA
Rfam family: Bacterial small subunit ribosomal RNA
Source: RNAcentral
GGAUAACUACUGGAAACGGUAGCUAAUACCGCAUAACGUCGCAAGACCAAAGAGGGGGACCUUCGGGCCUCUUGCCAUCAGAUGUGCCCAGAUGGGAUUAGCUAGUAGGUGGGGUAACGGCUCACCUAGGCGACGAUCCCUAGCUGGUCUGAGAGGAUGACCAGCCACACUGGAACUGAGACACGGUCCAGACUCCUACGGGAGGCAGCAGUGGGGAAUAUUGCACAAUGGGCGCAAGCCUGAUGCAGCCAUGCCGCGUGUAUGAAGAAGGCCUUCGGGUUGUAAAGUACUUUCAGCGGGGAGGAAGGCGAUAAGGUUAAUAACCUUGUCGAUUGACGUUACCCGCAGAAGAAGCACCGGCUAACUCCGUGCCAGCAGCCGCGGUAAUACGGAGGGUGCAAGCGUUAAUCGGAAUUACUGGGCGUAAAGCGCACGCAGGCGGUCUGUCAAGUCGGAUGUGAAAUCCCCGGGCUCAACCUGGGAACUGCAUUCGAAACUGGCAGGCUAGAGUCUUGUAGAGGGGGGUAGAAUUCCAGGUGUAGCGGUGAAAUGCGUAGAGAUCUGGAGGAAUACCGGUGGCGAAGGCGGCCCCCUGGACAAAGACUGACGCUCAG